RNAcentral lists this transfer RNA (75 nucleotides) under termite gut metagenome. Its description in RNAcentral is "tRNA-Trp". It matches the Rfam family "tRNA". From Rfam's summary of the family: Transfer RNA (tRNA) molecules are approximately 80 nucleotides in length. Their secondary structure includes four short double-helical elements and three loops (D, anti-codon, and T loops). Further hydrogen bonds mediate the characteristic L-shaped molecular structure. tRNAs have two regions of fundamental functional importance: the anti-codon, which is responsible for specific mRNA codon recognition, and the 3' end, to which the tRNAs corresponding amino acid is attached (by aminoacyl-tRNA synthetases). tRNAs cope with the degeneracy of the genetic code in two manners: having more than one tRNA (with a specific anti-codon) for a particular amino acid; and 'wobble' base-pairing, i.e. permitting non-standard base-pairing at the 3rd anti-codon position. The record is from RNAcentral.
ACAGGAGUAGUUCAGUUUGGUAGAGCACCGGUCUCCAAAACCGGGUGUCGGGAGUUCGAGUCUCUCCUCCUGUGC